Molecule: transfer RNA, 91 nt
Filed under: Asterophora parasitica
Lineage: Eukaryota; Fungi; Basidiomycota; Agaricomycetes; Agaricales; Lyophyllaceae
Rfam family: tRNA
About the family: Transfer RNA (tRNA) molecules are approximately 80 nucleotides in length. Their secondary structure includes four short double-helical elements and three loops (D, anti-codon, and T loops).
Source: Rfam by way of RNAcentral
GCCGCGUUGGCGUAGUGGUAGCGCGUCUCACUCGUAUUUGCUUUCAAAGGAGCCGAUGAGAAGGUCAUUCGUUCAAUCCGGAUACGCGGCA